This 498-nucleotide ribosomal RNA is filed under the name uncultured bacterium. Its description in RNAcentral is "partial 16S ribosomal RNA". It matches the Rfam family "Bacterial small subunit ribosomal RNA", at positions 27 to 507 of the family's 1533-position model. The record is from RNAcentral.
GGACGAACGCUGGCGGCGUGCCUAAUACAUGCAAGUUGAGCGCUGAAGGUUGGUACUUGUACCAACUGGAUGAGCAGCGAACGGGUGAGUAACGCGUGGGGAAUCUGCCUUUGAGCGGGGGACAACAUUUGGAAACGAAUGCUAAUACCGCAUAAAAACUUUAAACACAAGUUUUAAGUUUGAAAGAUGCAAUUGCAUCACUCAAAGAUGAUCCCGCGUUGUAUUAGCUAGUUGGUGAGGUAAAGGCUCACCAAGGCGAUGAUACAUAGCCGACCUGAGAGGGUGAUCGGCCACAUUGGGACUGAGACACGGCCCAAACUCCUACGGGAGGCAGCAGUAGGGAAUCUUCGGCAAUGGACGAAAGUCUGACCGAGCAACGCCGCGAGAGUGAAGAAGGUUUUCGGAUCGUAAAACUCUGUUGGUAGAGAAGAACGUUGGUGAGAGUGGAAAGCUCAUCAAGUGACGGUAACUACCCAGAAAGGGACGGCUAACUACGUG